This 515-nucleotide ribosomal RNA is filed under the name uncultured bacterium. RNAcentral's name for it is "partial 16S ribosomal RNA". It matches the Rfam family "Bacterial small subunit ribosomal RNA", at positions 28 to 523 of the family's 1533-position model. The record is from RNAcentral.
GAUGAACGCUGGCGGCGUGCCUAAUACAUGCAAGUCGAGCGAAUGGAUUGAGAGCUUGCUCUUAUGAAGUUAGCGGCGGACGGGUGAGUAACACGUGGGUAACCUGCCCAUAAGACUGGGAUAACUCCGGGAAACCGGGGCUAAUACCGGAUAACAUUUUGAACCGCAUGGUUCGAAAUUGAAAGGCGGCUUCGGCUGUCACUUAUGGAUGGACCCGCGUCGCAUUAGCUAGUUGGUGAGGUAACGGCUCACCAAGGCAACGAUGCGUAGCCGACCUGAGAGGGUGAUCGGCCACACUGGGACUGGGACACGGCCCAGACUCCUACGGGAGGCAGCAGUAGGGAAUCUUCCGCAAUGGACGAAAGUCUGACGGAGCAACGCCGCGUGAGUGAUGAAGGCUUUCGGGUCGUAAAACUCUGUUGUUAGGGAAGAACAAGUGCUAGUCGAAUAAGCUGACACCUUGACGGUACCUAACCAGAAAGCCACGGCUAACUACGUGCCAGCAGCCGCCGUAA